RNAcentral lists this ribosomal RNA (841 nucleotides) under Rhodococcus sp. RKEM 450. RNAcentral describes it as "bacterial SSU rRNA". It matches the Rfam family "Bacterial small subunit ribosomal RNA", at positions 17 to 873 of the family's 1533-position model. Lineage: Bacteria; Bacillati; Actinomycetota; Actinomycetes; Mycobacteriales; Nocardiaceae. The record is from RNAcentral.
UCCUGGCUCAGGACGAACGCUGGCGGCGUGCUUAACACAUGCAAGUCGAACGGUAAGGCCCUUCGGGGUACACGAGUGGCGAACGGGUGAGUAACACGUGGGUGAUCUGCCCUGCACUUCGGGAUAAGCCCGGGAAACUGGGUCUAAUACCGGAUAUGACUGCAGCAUGCAUGUGCUGUGGUGGAAAGAUUUAUCGGUGCAGGAUGGGCCCGCGGCCUAUCAGCUUGUUGGUGGGGUAAUGGCCUACCAAGGCGACGACGGGUAGCCGGCCUGAGAGGGCGACCGGCCACACUGGGACUGAGACACGGCCCAGACUCCUACGGGAGGCAGCAGUGGGGAAUAUUGCACAAUGGGCGCAAGCCUGAUGCAGCGACGCCGCGUGAGGGAUGACGGCCUUCGGGUUGUAAACCUCUUUCAGCAGGGACGAAGCGUGAGUGACGGUACCUGCAGAAGAAGCACCGGCCAACUACGUGCCAGCAGCCGCGGUAAUACGUAGGGUGCAAGCGUUGUCCGGAAUUACUGGGCGUAAAGAGCUCGUAGGCGGUUUGUCGCGUCGUCUGUGAAAACCAGCAGCUCAACUGUUGGCUUGCAGGCGAUACGGGCAGACUUGAGUAUUUCAGGGGAGACUGGAAUUCCUGGUGUAGCGGUGAAAUGCGCAGAUAUCAGGAGGAACACCGGUGGCGAAGGCGGGUCUCUGGGAAAUAACUGACGCUGAGGAGCGAAAGCGUGGGUAGCGAACAGGAUUAGAUACCCUGGUAGUCCACGCCGUAAACGGUGGGCGCUAGGUGUGGGUUUCCUUCCACGGGAUCCGUGCCGUAGCUAACGCAUUAAGCGCCCCGCC